This 404-nucleotide ribosomal RNA is filed under the name uncultured bacterium. RNAcentral describes it as "bacterial SSU rRNA". It matches the Rfam family "Bacterial small subunit ribosomal RNA", at positions 355 to 776 of the family's 1533-position model. The record is from RNAcentral.
UGGGGAAUAUUGCACAAUGGAGGAAACUCUGAUGCAGCAACGCCGCGUGGAGGAUGACGCAUUUCGGUGUGUAAACUCCUUUUAUAUGGGAAGAUAAUGACGGUACCAUAUGAAUAAGCACCGGCUAACUCCGUGCCAGCAGCCGCGGUAAUACGGAGGGUGCAAGCGUUACUCGGAAUCACUGGGCGUAAAGCGCGCGCAGGCGGCCUUUUAAGUUGGAUGUGAAAGCCUAUGGCUCAACCAUAGAACUGCAUCCAAAACUAUCAGGCUAGAGUGUGGGAGAGGAAGAUGGAAUUAGUUGUGUAGGGGUAAAAUCCGUAGAGAUAACUAGGAAUACCAAAAGCGAAGGCAAUCUUCUGGAACAUUACUGACGCUGAGGCGCGAAAGCGUGGGGAGCAAACAGG